This is a long non-coding RNA of Bufo bufo (common toad), 215 nucleotides long. RefSeq lists it as uncharacterized. Lineage: Eukaryota; Metazoa; Chordata; Amphibia; Anura; Bufonidae. The record is from RefSeq and is a predicted model, not a curated record. The transcript is spliced from 2 exons.
UGGCAAUCAAUGGUGGGGUUAUGCUUAGUGAGCCAGGGUAGCCCGAACACUAGAGGAGUAGGUAAUCCACUUAGGACGAAACACGACAUAUCCUCAACCUGAGCGUCACCCACAGUCAAACGGAUAUUGUGAACUAUGCCCUUUAACGAUCUUUGAGAAAGUGGAGCGGAAUCGAUAGCAAAAACAGGUAUAUCCUUUUCCAAAGUGCAUACCUG